ACCAGCUCCUGAGGUGGCAAAUCCUCCUCCGGCAGAAGCACCACCACCGGCUGAGGCAGCUCCGCCAGCUGAAGCUGCCUCGCCAGCAGAGCCACCGAGAGAAUCACCACCGCCUCAACAGCCAGCACCGGAGCCAGCAACGCCAACACCUGUAGCUGCUGAGACUAACCCCGGGCAACAAAUACACCACCAGAGACCAAGAGACGUUGGAGAAGUUCAUACAAUUUACCACCAGAGUCACCACCCACCGGGACAAUCACCACCGCCUCAACAGCCAGCACCAGAGUCAGCAGCGCCAACACCUGUAGCUGCUGAGACUAACCCUGGGCAACAAAUACACCACCAGAGACGAAGAGACGUUGGAGAAGUUCAUACCAUAUACCACCACGGUAACCCUCCACCUGAUUAUGGCUAUAGAUAUGGCUACUCUCAAGGCUACAAUGGCUACUGGAACGGAUACCAUAACAGCCAAGGACCUCCACCGGAGCCUGCCCCUAUCCCCACCCCAAUGGGCCCUUCCCCGAUGACCCCCGCCACAAUGGGCCCUCCUCCGAUGAGCCCCACCACAAUGAGUCACACCCCACCUCCAC
This 590-nucleotide long non-coding RNA is filed under the name Malus domestica (apple). RNAcentral's name for it is "long non-coding RNA (MDOM_LNC011947)". Lineage: Eukaryota; Viridiplantae; Streptophyta; Magnoliopsida; Rosales; Rosaceae. The record is from RNAcentral.